RNAcentral lists this unclassified non-coding RNA (380 nucleotides) under Mesomycoplasma flocculare ATCC 27399. Its description in RNAcentral is "Mycoplasma flocculare ATCC 27399 16S-23S ribosomal RNA intergenic spacer". The record is from RNAcentral. Lineage: Bacteria; Bacillati; Mycoplasmatota; Mycoplasmoidales; Metamycoplasmataceae.
CUACGGAAAAAUUACCAUAUAUUUAAAUAUGGCUUCCAAAAAUAAAAAUAUUAUUUUAAUUCGCAUUCUUUUUUUGAAUAUAAAUUUAGUUACUUUUUUUAAUUCAUUUUCCUCCUUGUUUAUUAUAAUUGGUAUAUAUGCCUAGUUUUGAGAGCUCUAUUGUUCUCAAAUUUUGUUUAAAUAACAAAAUUUUAGUUCUUUCAAAACUGAAUAGUAACAAUUUUAUUUCUGAUUGAAAAACAGAAAUAAUUCCAAUAAUCUUUUAAAAUUAAACCGAGUUUAUUUUUUAUUCAUAAUUUCGAUUAUGAAUAAGAUUAUUUCAAGAUUGUUAAAAUACCUUAAGAUAUAUUAUCUAAAAAAUAGGCUAUACUCAAAAAAUA